CGUCAAAUCAUCAUGCCCCUUAUGACCUGGGCUACACACAUACUACAAUGGCCGGUACAACGGGAAGCGAAGGAGCGAUCCGGAGCCAAUCCUAUAAAGCCGGUCUCAGUUCGGAUUGUAGGCUGCAACUCGCCUGCAUGAAGCCGGAAUCGCUAGUAAUCGCGGAUCAGCAUGCCGCGGUGAAUACGUUCCCGGGCCUU
RNAcentral lists this ribosomal RNA (200 nucleotides) under uncultured organism. Its description in RNAcentral is "partial small subunit ribosomal RNA". It matches the Rfam family "Bacterial small subunit ribosomal RNA", at positions 1183 to 1382 of the family's 1533-position model. The record is from RNAcentral.